GAGCCGGGCGGCGGGUACUUAUCUCCGACCUCCGGCUAGUGGGAAAGGCCGCGCGACCGCCCGUCCUCCAACUACAGGGACCGCACGAACAGCGACUGGGAAACUGCCACUAGAAAAAGAUGACUGUCCAACUAAAACCUGCAUACACAGCUACAUCCUUCCCUGGAAGAGCACAGUGGAACUAGAUCCUAGUACAGAUAGCACAGGGAUUGUCAACAUUCUUGUCACACUGAAAUUUCCUUCUACUGAUCUCCAAAAACAGAUGCCCUGCCCAGAAGCAACACGGCUAAUGGGUGCCACCGUGGAGACCCAGGCAACCUGAGAGUAGUCCUGACAGCCAGACCUCCAGGGUGGAAAUGGGAAGGUCUACAGAGAAAGUGGGAGACAUGAAACUAAACAGGAAUGAUACAUUGACAAUAAAGAACAUGAAGAGAUGGUUCCUGGACACUACAAGAAACCUGUGGUCCCAGCUACUCGAAGACUGAAGUGAGAGGAUCACUUGAGCCCAGAAGGUCGAUGCUACAGUGAGCCAUGAUCAUGC
Molecule: long non-coding RNA, 541 nt
Filed under: Homo sapiens (human)
Lineage: Eukaryota; Metazoa; Chordata; Mammalia; Primates; Hominidae
Description: HSALNT0373351
Source: RNAcentral